GGCAGUGUAGUAUAAUGAUUUAGGAGCUAGUCUUGUAACUUGAAGGUUGCAGGUUCGAUUCCUGCCGUUGUAC
This 73-nucleotide transfer RNA is filed under the name Anguilla anguilla (European eel). RNAcentral describes it as "tRNA-OTHER". Lineage: Eukaryota; Metazoa; Chordata; Actinopteri; Anguilliformes; Anguillidae. The record is from RNAcentral.